UACGUAGGGCGCAAGCGUUGUCCGGAAUUAUUGGGCGUAAAGAGCUCGUAGGCGGCUUGUCGCGUCGGCUGUGAAAACCUGGGGCUCAACCCCGGGCCUGCAGCCGAUACGGGCAAGCUAGAGUUCGGUAGGGGAGACUGGAAUUCCUGGUGUAGCGGUGAAAUGCGCAGAUAUCAGGAGGAACACCGGUGGCGAAGGCGGGUCUCUGGGCCGAUAUUGACGCUGAGGCACGAAAGCGUGGGGAGCAAACAGG
Molecule: ribosomal RNA, 253 nt
Filed under: uncultured bacterium
Lineage: Bacteria
Description: partial 16S ribosomal RNA
Rfam family: Bacterial small subunit ribosomal RNA
Source: RNAcentral